This is a non-coding RNA of Schizosaccharomyces pombe (fission yeast), 2703 nucleotides long. The record is from the annotation of a GenBank genome assembly. NCBI's taxonomy places the organism in Eukaryota, Fungi, Ascomycota, Schizosaccharomycetes, Schizosaccharomycetales, Schizosaccharomycetaceae.
UCUUCCGGAAAAAAGGUGUAAUAUUUUUCUUAAUCUAGACUGCCAUUGCUCAAUUCUGAAUAUAAAGAUCAGUAAAUAUCAUUGAAAAUUCGACCACUUACGGGUGUUUCGAGUUAACGAAAGAAUUUGAAAUCCCUGAUAAAGAACCAGGAUGAAUGGACUUGAUUAAUUUAUCAUUCCUUAAAACUGACAUGAACUUUUGGUUUUCGAGCUCAGUGGGUACCCCGAAAAGUAUUUCCUCCAACGAAUUGCGAAGGUGGCCUUCAAUUAGAGGAAUACAUAAGCUUAAGGAAAGUUGGUAUAAAGAAGACUUAGAGCAGGGUAAAGACGAAUGAAUGACUUCAUUUUUUGACUCCAGAAGCAAAAUUUGAUUUUCAUGCUUUUUAAACAGCUUCGGAGAUCCGAGUAAUGAUAUUAACUUCUUAAAAGAAGGAAAUGAACUAAAAUCUCCACGUUCAUCACAAUAUCUUAGAAUAUUUUGAAGGUCAAAGAUGUCUUUGUGGGUACAACUGAGUGUUCUUCCGCCGUAGACUGGUAUAAUUUUAGGCGUUGAUAAAUGAAUCACUUUGCAUUCGUUAGCUUUAUCUUCAAUAAUCAAAACGUACAUUUUCUUACAAGAGCCUCGACGAUUCUAUAAUUCCUAGUAUGCCAAAUUAUUUCAGUUUGCUCAUUAAGUUUAACCCUACCGAAUAGAGAGUUCAUAAAAUGCUUUACAAGAGUGAAUUUUUUCGAGUCCUUCCCUUCAAAGUACUUUGAGUAGUAGACUGAAAGGCAGUUCAUUAGCUGAUCACACAAAAAGUAUUCAAUAAAUUCCUUAAUAGCUGAAGGCUUAAAAGAUUCCUAGAUCAAUCGGUUAGAAAUCGGAGUUUAUUACAUAAAACUUACAGAUCUUGAAUAAUAUAUUUGUUUUAAUACCAUAGGAAGUUCAUUAGGGAUUCUUUCCCUAUUUUCAUAACACGAAACAAGCAUCUCUGUAACAACCCUCAUUGCAUCACUUUCAAUUGUCGUUUCACAUAAGUGCUCCAAGAAAAAUUUAUCGACUACAUUUCCUAAAUGUUUUUCAAAGAAUGAUUGAAGCUGCAAACUGAAACAAUUAGAAAAUACUCCAAAUGAUAUAGCGUACCAAAAUCCUUUAGUGAACAGUCUUGAGGCCCACGAAAUAAGAGAAUCACUGGUCGAAUGUCCCACUUCCGCAGACGAUUGUUGAAUAGAAACCAUAACACAAGACAUUAUCAAAUUUAGAAAACUUCUUCGAUCAGAAGCUGAAAUUGCAAAGCCAAAGAAUUUUAAUAUCAGGAGAAUAAAGUUUUGAACAUCAAUUUUGUCAAUGCCAUCAGAUGAGAAUCUUGAUAUUAUUAAUAUCCAAAUUUGAGGAGACUCUUCAAGCUUAAAGAUCAAAUUGUUGAGUAUCGGCGGAACCAGCUGACUGGAAAUUGCAAUAGAUGAAUCGUCACUACUAAAUCCACAAAAAUCAAGUGACAUUUCCAAUUGCGGUAAAUGAAGAAGCUCUAAAUGUAAUGAUACCAUCUUUCUGUAUAUUUGGUGGCUUUCUUUCAGUAGUAUCAAUCUUUCCUCAUCAGAAAUAGAGCUUAGUUUAGUCUCUAGCUUUGGCAGCCAACCUAAUCGCUCAGACAUAUCAUCGCGCCUUAAUUUUUCUAUACUAACACAUUUCCUUGUUAAAAAACCACGACAUUGGGAUUGACAUUGUUUAAUCCACGCUGGUACUUCUCGAAAGCAGGAAACUUGCUUAUUAGAAGUUGCUGUUUCAUGGCGAUGUGAAUAGGAACAGAAAAAAUUUUUUAAUUUCGGAAAGUUUGGAAAUUUUUUUGCUUUUUUUAAUAAGGAAAUCUCUUUUGUUGCAGUGUUCAGUUGGGAUUUUUUAAUUCGCAGCUUCCCAUAUAGGGAUGGAACAUGACGGGUGACUUCAAGAAAAUCAAGAAGAUAAGAAAGAGCGUGUAAGCAAUAGAUUACUUUUGGAAUAUUAAAUCUUCUAACUAAAUCUUUCGUCUCGAAGCGAAAUGGCUGAUAACGUUAGUACAUGGAUAUAAUUAUAACAUAAACAUACAGUAAACAUUCCAAUGAAAUCUAAAAAAUGGAAGAAUGCAUUUAAGUAAACCGUAUUCCUUUCAGAUAUUUGAUAACGUGGCUUCCAAUUUGAAGCUAACUUGGGAUAAUAUUUAAAAGCUAACUGACACAGAACUUUACCAUUUACAAGUGCAUCAACAAAGUCAUCAAGGUUCUGAUAUUCGUUAUUAGUUUCCUCUUCAAGCCAUCUUUUUAAUGUCAGUGUCAAUUCCGAUUGUUAGAAUAGACUUACUUUUUAGCUUCAUGAACGCUACAAAGAUAGCCAUAGGCAAGCCAGUCAUUCAUUUGAUUCUUAACUUCUUUAUUGCGUUUGGACUUCAUAUCUUUUUUAAAAACAUAGUGGUUUUCAAAUUUUUGUAUCAUCGGUUCAUCCUGAAAAAUACCAUUCGGAGCCAUCGCAUUAAGCGUAAGCUCCUGCAACGGCCCUUUAUUCUGUAACAUUUUCAUUGAAAGUGGAUGCAAUUUGAUGUUUUUUGCAAAAUUUGUUCUGCAGAAGAGUGAGCUAUAUACGUUAUUAUUAUGGCAAACUCGUAUUUAACUAUUUGUAAACAAACAAACAAACCAAAUAGAACUUCGAGUAUCAAAGGGUCAUUCUUAUAAUUCGUAAACAGUUGAGAG